RNAcentral lists this ribosomal RNA (976 nucleotides) under Brevibacterium casei. RNAcentral describes it as "bacterial SSU rRNA". It matches the Rfam family "Bacterial small subunit ribosomal RNA", at positions 476 to 1448 of the family's 1533-position model. The record is from RNAcentral. Lineage: Bacteria; Bacillati; Actinomycetota; Actinomycetes; Micrococcales; Brevibacteriaceae.
UACAUGCAGAAGAAGUACCGGCUAACUACGGGCCAGCAGCCGCGGUAGUACGUAGGGUACGAGCGUUGUCCGGAAUUAUGGGGCGUAAAGAGCUCGUAGAUGGUUGGUCACGUCUGCUGUGGAAACGCAACGCUUAACGUUGCGCGUGCAGUGGGUACGGGCUGACUAGAGUGCAGUAGGGGAGUCUGGAAUUCCUGGUGUAGCGGUGAAAUGCGCAGAUAUCAGGAGGAACACCGGUGGCGAAGGCGGGACUCUGGGCUGUAACUGACACUGAGGAGCGAAAGCAUGGGGAGCGAACAGGAUUAGAUACCCUGGUAGUCCAUGCCGUAAACGUUGGGCACUAGGUGUGGGGGGCAUUCCACGUUCUCCGCGCCGUAGCUAACGCAUUAAGUGCCCCGCCUGGGGAGUACGGUCGCAAGGCUAAAACUCAAAGGAAUUGACGGGGGCCCGCACAAGCGGCGGAGCAUGCGGAUUAAUUCGAUGCAACGCGAAGAACCUUACCAAGGCUUGACAUACACCGGACCGUCCUGGAAACAGGUCCUCUUCUUUGAAGCUGGUGUACAGGUGGUGCAUGGUUGUCGUCAGCUCGUGUCGUGAGAUGUUGGGUUAAGUCCCGCAACGAGCGCAACCCUCGUUCUAUGUUGCCAGCACGUGAUGGUGGGAACUCAUAGGAGACUGCCGGGGUCAACUCGGAGGAAGGUGGGGAUGACGUCAAAUCAUCAUGCCCUUUAUGUCUUGGGCUUCACGCAUGCUACAAUGGCUGGUACAGAGAGAGGCGAACCCGUGAGGGCAAGCGAAUCCCUUAAAGCCAGUCUCAGUUCGGAUCGUAGUCUGCAAUUCGACUACGUGAAGUCGGAGUCGCUAGUAAUCGCAGAUCAGCAACGCUGCGGUGAAUACGUUCCCGGGCCUUGUACACACCGCCCGUCAAGUCACGAAAGUCGGUAACACCCGAAGCCGGUGGCCUAACCGUAAGGAG